UGCAAUAGAAUCGGCUCUCAAGGGCGGUUGCUCAUCUCCGGAAAGGAGGUGAUGCUAUGGAAGUUAAGGAUGCUUUAGCUUUGAUGUUUAUGUUUGGAAUGUUCAUCCUUGCCUUACUUUCCUACUUAAAAAAGAAGUAGACCUCCCUUGAGCGUAGCAGCCUAAGAGGUCUAACUUCUAUGCUUAAAAUUUAUGCCGAUCGCCCUUGAGGCAAUCUAUUGUAUGGACCGUAGAUGCUAUUAACAUUUACG
RNAcentral lists this small RNA (251 nucleotides) under Tepidibacillus decaturensis. Its description in RNAcentral is "BsrG". It matches the Rfam family "BsrG". From Rfam's summary of the family: bsrE, bsrG and bsrH pair through intermolecular interactions with antisense sRNAs. The record is from Rfam by way of RNAcentral. Lineage: Bacteria; Bacillati; Bacillota; Bacilli; Caryophanales; Bacillaceae.